AACGAACGCUGGCGGCAGGCUUAACACAUGCAAGUCGAACGCCCCGCAAGGGGAGUGGCAGACGGGUGAGUAACGCGUGGGAACAUACCCUUUUCUACGGAAUAGCUCUGGGAAACUGGAAUUAAUACCGUAUACGCCCUACGGGGGAAAGAUUUAUCGGGGAAGGAUUGGCCCGCGUUGGAUUAGCUAGUUGGUGGGGUAAAGGCCUACCAAGGCGACGAUCCAUAGCUGGUCUGAGAGGAUGAUCAGCCACAUUGGGACUGAGACACGGCCCAAACUCCUACGGGAGGUAGCAGUGGGGAAUAUUGGACAAUGGGCGCAAGCCUGAUCCAGCCAUGCCGCGUGAGUGAUGAAGGCCUUAGGGUUGUAAAGCUCUUUCACCGAUGAAGAUAAUGACGGUAGUCGGAGAAGAAGCCCCGGCUAACUUCGUG
RNAcentral lists this ribosomal RNA (431 nucleotides) under uncultured bacterium. RNAcentral describes it as "partial 16S ribosomal RNA". It matches the Rfam family "Bacterial small subunit ribosomal RNA", at positions 29 to 507 of the family's 1533-position model. The record is from RNAcentral.